This is a long non-coding RNA of Ornithodoros turicata, 5112 nucleotides long. RefSeq lists it as uncharacterized. The transcript is spliced from 3 exons. The record is from RefSeq and is a predicted model, not a curated record. NCBI's taxonomy places the organism in Eukaryota, Metazoa, Arthropoda, Arachnida, Ixodida, Argasidae.
UUUUCCCGCUGCAUAUGUACUUCACUGGCUUUCCACUGGUCUUUCAGUUGUGAGUCUCUAACCCUAACGGGACUUUGUUAUGCUGUGCAGAAAGAAGAGGAAGCCUGAGAGCACGUCUUACCUGAAUGUGGCGCGCUGCGAUAGGUUCGUAAAAUCGCAGCUGGACUGGAUACUGAUGUCCAUUUCUUCGCUGUUCCGCGGCAAUGGGUUCGUUAUAAAAGGCGCUCGUCGCAUAUGCCAAUCUCAUCCUCUUAUUCGGAUUCCGACUCACAACCAUCAGUUAAGUAAUAUAUUUAUUCUACCUUGCUUUCGGAUUGCGCUGUCCGCAGAGCGAAUGCGCGAUUGCAAAUCCCGCCGGCAAAGCCAACUACGUCACCGGAAGCCAAGAACGCGGGGGCAGCUCGAGAGGGUCCCUUCGACCGGAAGUUAACAGUUGUUUUAGGAACCGACGUUUUUUGUGUUUUAUGGGAAAACCUCAACGAAUUUUGGAAAAACUACUAGCGUUAUUUACAUGGAGGGCAUUGUGAGGCAGAUGUUAGGUUUAGUUCAGAAACAUUGAAUCUUCGCGGACACCACCUUUAAAUCUCCAGAGGGGGCCACUGCCCCCAUUGCCCUGCUCUCGGUACACCCAUGUUUUGGGGGCUAAACGAAUCGGCACAGCGAAAGUGAAACCGUCCGUCUCUGGCACACAUGUACGAGGGGUGUUCGAGUCAAACCGGGACUUUCUGCCUCCUGAGUGUACAAAUGGCUCGCGCUAUUUCUUUUUCGUCAUUUUCACAUGCGAGUGUUUUUUUUUUUACACACAUUUCCCAGACAACACGCAAAGUCCCUCGGAUGUCCUGGCGUUCCCAUCACGUCCCAAAAAUAAGAAUGUCCCGCUGAAACUUUGUGGGGAUAUCCCACGCAUGUUUCAGCAGGACAAGACUCGGAAUAUCCCAUAGGCGUCUGGCCGGGAUAAUUUUUGUCCUUCUUCAUUUGGCUUCCUGAGCAGGUGAAAUUUCGGAACUGUGGUUACCAAUAAUAUCGCAUAAGUGUGUAUCUGAUCGUCUGAAAUAACGCUGUGCCUGAAGCAGAAAAAAAAAACGACAUAUAUCUGCAGUUAGACACGCUUACUGAAAAAUUCCACUGUACGUACAGGGCAGUCCCAAAACGUUGUACUGUACUUUAUUAUCCUUUGAUUAUACCAUUCAAUAAAUAUAUAUCCCCCCCCCCUUUGAUUAUACUGCACAACAACUUGCCCCAUCAAUGUGAAUGACCCCAUGACGAGCGCUGCCUGGCAAUGCGGCCAGGACCUACGCGCUAAGCGCGAUCUAGAUCCUGGUUUAUUAAAUUUUUGACAUGCAAUAUUUUCUGUAUCCCUCGCAAUGGGACCUGCGACAUAAAUUUGAAACGGCGCCUAAAUCGCUACGUUUUACAAUGAAAACGCAACUCCGCGACCCCAUUUCUUCGAGGAGAUUUGCAAAUCAACACGAUGUGUGAGGAUGUGUGUGCAUCUGCGUGGUCACAAAGUGGUGUUCACUUGUGUCGCUGACGCCGCUUCCACCACUAAAAAACAAACGCGCGAUGCGCGCACACGCAUCCGUCCAGCAAUACACUGCCGCGCUCGCUGGCUCCGUCAUAAAAGAAGUAGAAAGUCAGCAACCAUGGUCGGUACCCCGAGCGGUCAACGCAGGGCACUAAAGGCCGAUCCAAUCCAAUCCGUUAUUUGUUUUGUGGCGUUCGUUGCGGUGACCGUUUAUGGUGUUCAUGCGUGUACGUAAAUGCACAAAAUUUUCGGCAUCAAGGUAUUUAACUGUACUUACAAUGCCAUUAAUUUCGUUAUCUCCCAGCGCUGAUGUUACCGAGGUUUGCUUCUAGGGUAAUUUCGUUUAAUAGGCAGGCUGAUUCGUGCGUAGCCUGUUCUAUUGCCUAAAGAAGUGACUAGUCUGUUCAGCUUCUCUAUACUUAUUUGUUGUCGAUAAAAGUGUGAGAUGGCUGAUGGGUUUCUUCACUUUCACCGUAGAAUUUUCUGGUGAAGAACCAAAGCUUUUAACAUUUGAGGAUACCAGAAAGAAGUUCAUUUCUCCGGGCAGCAGCGACUGGUGCGAAAAAAAUUGCUCUUCGAGGUCCCAUAUUUACGUGAAAAGAUGAGUGACGUGGCCUGCUAAUCAGUUUCACCUGAGAAACUGAGAAUUUUACGAGCGCUCAUGAAGGACAAAGUAGCAACCUCCUCCAGCUCGCAGUGAGGCAAGGGGACGAUGAAGUUCUGCGACCUGUUAUGCUGUGAUUAAGUAUUAAAAUAUGUGUUUGCAUAUUCUGUAUAUCUGACUUGUCACCUGUGUUUCUGAAGCCAAGUCACGUUUUUAAUUAUAGGCACUGUAAUGCCAAACCGGCUGCUCAAGGACGUGACCCGCAGUAAAGGAGAGCAGCACAUAAAGUCCUGGCUGAGGCACGCCAAAGAACCUCAUGACAGGACGUCGACAAAAGAUAAGGGCUCGGAGUACUACACAGAACAGCAGCGACAGCUGGGCCAAUCCGUGCGAAACUCUUCAGGCCUAGCUUUGAGCCUAGAUUUCACGAGAGAAAAAAAUGUGCAUUCUCUGAGAGUGUGGUAGAUACACAUUUCUUUCCUCUGUAUAUUUGGCUCCAGACUGAGGGCUAUGCAGGUGUUGCCUUCAAAAUGAAAAGUGUUAUGCCAUUGUCAUCUCCAUGCAAUACACAUCGACAAUAUUAAUGGGUUUUCGUUAAUGUAUAAUGUUGGACAAAAAAAAAUUCAGCUCAUGAAACAGAAGGUGGGAUUAUCUUAAAGUUUAUUCCGUGUAGAGAGCUCGGGAGCAGACCAUAAUUGUGACAAAUAGUUAAUAACUUUUUGGUGAGGAUAAUAAGCUUGAUUGUGAAUAAUAAUAAUACGUAAAGACAACUCGAAUAUUGUUCGAGUUGUCUGCGUGUUCAUGUGUAUUGGAAGGUGACGACAAUAGAGCUAGAUAUAACUUUGCAACGUAGAAGGCCGCACAUAUAGGGUGUUUCACCUAUCGUGAUAAAUUCUAACCGUAGACGUACACGCCGUAUCGGAUUGUGGGAUUUUUGGCAAUUACCCUCUGGCAACUUUUGCAGACACUUUGGCUUUGCUGACGGCUUUGGACAAUUUUUAAUUGACGGAAAUUUAUGUUUUCAAUCAAAUUAAGAAAAUUGCCAAGCACACCCCUAUUUUUUAACAGAAAUAUGAAGUGCCCUCCGGAUGACCGCAGACCCAACAAAACCUAUGCGCAGUAUUAACAGAAACGGUCGAAAAAAGUAAAAGUGAUGCUUUAGUCCUGCCGACUUGAUUGUUGCAAAAAGCCAGCAGAUUAGUUGCAGGGAAGAAGUAUCCCCGCCUCUUGCUUUACCUUUCUUUUCCCUGGUUUGACCUUGAUGCACAAAGAAACGAAAAAAAAUCAAGGUGGGAACACUUCUUCCUCUUCCUGCACAUUUUGCGCACGGAUUUUUGCAACAAUAAAGCAGGUGGGGCUAUAGCAGCACUUUUGCUAAGACUUUUCAACUAUUUCAGUCACUAUACUGUGCAUAGUUUUCGUUACGUCUGCGGUUAUUCGUAGGAUCGCUUGGCAAUUUUCAAAGUUUUUCAUUGAAAAGAUCCCUGAAUUAAAAAUUGUCCAAAGCUUUCCAGAAUGGCAGCAAAAGAUUCCAGAAGGUAAUUGCAGAAAGUGCCACAAUCCUCUUGCAGGUACGUUGCCAAUACAAUCGUUUAUUACUUUAGGUGAAGCGCCCUCUAUGUAUACGUUCAUAAAAAAAGCAAAAAAAGAAACACCAGGAAUUUUCCUUGCAUAUGUCACCCUUCGGAGACUGCACUUGUUUCAAGCAAACUCCAAAGAGGCCAAAUUACACCUCUGCUUAUUUUCCGCAACCUGAUUACUAGUCAUGAUGGUGCGUUUAUUUCAUUCAUGAGCAUGUUGUGUAAUCCGGAACUGCUCAGAAUGUUUGAAAUUCCAUGCUAUAUUUUACAGCUGCUAUUGCAGCUCUUGUAGUGUUAUCUUGAACGCCCAAACUGGGCUCCUUACAUUUCAUCUUGGCCGAGGCCAACUGUAGACUACAGAAGAAUGAAGUGUGAAGUGCCCUAUAGAUGACGUUAUUCAUUUUAUUCAUUUAUGUAUUUUGUAAAGACUGCACUUGGCUCGCAUUGUCAUAUCGGACUCCUGAUACAUGUUUCUUGUUCGGGUUGUUUGUUAGCGACCACGCUGUCCAGAAGGGAGUAAAUAAGGUUCUCUUUGAAGUGAUUGGUAUUUUUGUGCAUAUUAUUGUAGCCAAAUAAUGUUCAUCGGCGCAGUUAAAGACUCAAGUAUCUGUAUCAGGAAUUGUGAAAAAUGGUUUUGCUCAGAUGACAAAGGUGGAAGGCACUUUUGAAGGCUCGUAGUACAACUUACCUCGACUGAAAUGACGAAUUUCUACAUGAAUCUGAUGUGUACUGCACGGAAGUGGCUUUGUGGUGUUUGCUCAUUUUUGCUAGGAGGUGCUUCGAACCAAUUAUGUGAUGACGGCGUUUGCUAGGUGCUACAGCGCAUUAAUGCGAUGACAUUAUUUACUCAUUUAUGCUGAAUGGUGCUUCAGCCCAUUGAUGUAGUGACGUUAAAUAACAGCACCAAGGUGAUGAUCCUUUAGUUCCAUACGCCAUGUGUACAUUUACAGAGCCUUUUCUAGAUAGAGGGAUGCCAUUUUCGGUCCAAAUAAGCAUAUCGACUAUUUGUUUAGCGUUAUGAAUAUUUCUAACUGCUGGCGCAAGAAUCGUUCGGCUUUUCCCUGCAUACAAGGCAAAGUGUGGUCUGACCCUGUAAGCCAUCCAGCCACCAUUAAUUCCGAAGCACCCCUUGUGGGCUUAAUGACUGAGAACACAGUUUCUGCUCGUCACUGCUAUAUGCAGACUACAAAUUGAUUUCACCUCUCAGCAGCUUCAGAUGUUGGUGUGAUGUAGAGCUUUUCUAGAGCUUUUAUGCGUUCAUGCAUUGAGCACUUAUCUGCUUUGUUAUCAUCCAAGUCAAAUGUCAUUUUCUUUUUAUGCAUAUUGUGUAGUAUUUAACAUUGUGUAGCUAUACAUCACUUGAAGUUCCUUGAAAUAAAGAAGCCAUGAAAGCUUUGAAACUG